Molecule: ribosomal RNA, 509 nt
Filed under: uncultured bacterium
Lineage: Bacteria
Description: bacterial SSU rRNA
Rfam family: Bacterial small subunit ribosomal RNA
Source: RNAcentral
AAUCAACGCUGGCGGCGUGCCUAACACAUGCAAGCCGAACGCGAAAAGGGGGCAACCCUGAGUAGAGUGGCGUCCGGGUGAGUAACACGUGGAUAAUCUGCCUGAGGGCGGGGGAAUAACUUUCCGAAAGGGGAGGCUAAUACCGCAUAACACCGUAAUAGGGCAUCCUGAUACGGUCAAAGAGGGGGAGUCGCAAGACCUCUCGCCUGCAGAGGAGUCCGCGGCCGAUUAGCUAGUUGGCGAGGUAACGGCUCACCAAGGCAGCGAUCGGUAGCCGGCCUGAGAGGGCGAACGGCCACACUGGCACUGAAUACGGGCCAGACUCCUACGGGAGGCAGCAGUGGGGAAUUUUGGGUCAAUGGCCGAAAGGCUGACCCAGCAACGCCGCGUGAAGGAUGAAAUCUUUCGGGAUGUAAACUUCGCAAGUCAAGGAAGAAUAAGCUUGUACGAAUAAUGCAAGCGAUGACGGUACUUGACGUAAGCCCCGGCUAACUCCGUGCCAGCCGCCG